This is a non-coding RNA of Podarcis lilfordi (Lilford's wall lizard), 69 nucleotides long. The record is from the annotation of a GenBank genome assembly. NCBI's taxonomy places the organism in Eukaryota, Metazoa, Chordata, Lepidosauria, Squamata, Lacertidae.
GUCGUAGCUCAGUGGUAGAGUGACUGCCUUGCACACAGAAGGCCCCAGGUUCAAUCCCCAGCAUCUACC